UACGGGGGGAGCAAGCGUUGUUCGGAUUUACUGGGCGUAAAGGGCGCGUAGGCGGCCACCGCAAGUCAGUUGUGAAAUCUCUGGGCUUAACCCAGAAAGGUCAACUGAUACUGCGGGGCUAGAGUGCAGAAGGGGCAACUGGAAUUCUCGGUGUAGCGGUGAAAUGCGUAGAUAUCGAGAGGAACACCUGCGGCGAAGGCGGGUUGCUGGGCUGACACUGACGCUGAGGAGCGAAAGCGUGGGUAGCAAACAGG
This 254-nucleotide ribosomal RNA is filed under the name uncultured bacterium. RNAcentral's name for it is "partial 16S ribosomal RNA". It matches the Rfam family "Bacterial small subunit ribosomal RNA", at positions 524 to 776 of the family's 1533-position model. The record is from RNAcentral.